GAGCUUGCUCUUAUGAAGUUAGCGGCGGACGGGUGAGUAACACGUGGGUAACCUGCCCAUAAGACUGGGAUAACUCCGGGAAACCGGGGCUAAUACCGGAUAACAUUUUGAACCGCAUGGUUCGAAAUUGAAAGGCGGCUUCGGCUGUCACUUAUGGAUGGACCCGCGUCGCAUUAGCUAGUUGGUGAGGUAACGGCUCACCAAGGCAACGAUGCGUAGCCGACCUGAGAGGGUGAUCGGCCACACUGGGACUGAGACACGGCCCAGACUCCUACGGGAGGCAGCAGUAGGGAAUCUUCC
RNAcentral lists this ribosomal RNA (300 nucleotides) under Bacillus cereus. Its description in RNAcentral is "bacterial SSU rRNA". It matches the Rfam family "Bacterial small subunit ribosomal RNA", at positions 76 to 367 of the family's 1533-position model. Lineage: Bacteria; Bacillati; Bacillota; Bacilli; Caryophanales; Bacillaceae. The record is from RNAcentral.